This 1332-nucleotide ribosomal RNA is filed under the name Occidozyga lima. RNAcentral's name for it is "partial 16S large subunit ribosomal RNA". It matches the Rfam family "Bacterial large subunit ribosomal RNA", at positions 150 to 2529 of the family's 2925-position model. Lineage: Eukaryota; Metazoa; Chordata; Amphibia; Anura; Dicroglossidae. The record is from RNAcentral.
GCCAAACAUCUAGCUUUCCCCACCCAUAAAUACCCCGCUCACUCAAUAAAUGAUAAAACAUUUUAUUAUUUUAGUAAAGGCGAUUAAAAAAAUUCUAAAAGCUUUAAAUUUAGUACCGCAAGGGAACAAUGAAAUAUUAAUGAAAUAACAUAAAGCACAAAACAGUAGAAGUUAAAACUCGUACCUUUUGCAUCAUGGUCUAGCAAGUCUUAAUCAAGCAAAAAGAAAUUUUAGUUUGAUUUCCCGAAACUAGGUGAGCUACUUCAAAAUAGCCUUUUUGGGCCAACCCGUCUCUGUGGCAAAAGAGUGGGAAAAUUUUCAAGUAGAAGUGAUAGACCUAACGAACCUAGAGAUAGCUGGUUAUUCAAGAAAAGAAUUUUAGUUCACCCUUAAGUCUCUAUAUGAUCACCAACACCCUCAUAGGCUUAAGAGAUAUUCAAAUAAGGCACAGCUUAUUUGAAACAGGAUACAACCUAUACACCAGGGUAAACCAUUGAGAUUAAACUAAGUAGGCCUAAAAGCAGCCACCUUUAAAAAAGCGUUAAAGCUUUAUUUUUCUCUACAAAAAUCUGUUUGACUAUUAUGAACCCGUCAUCACUAUUGAAUAAUUUCAUAAAUUAUGAAAGUUACCAUGCUAGAACUAGUAACAAGAAAAUGUAUUUCUCCAAAUUGUAAGCUUACACCAAAAUGGACUUCCCACUGGUACUCAACGAUUCUGAUUCUAAUAUUUUAACUACUCAAGAAAACUAAAUAAUUUACAUCGUUAACCUUACACUAGAACACUUCUGGAAAGAUUAAAAGGGAGAGAAGGAACUCGGCAAUAUCUAGUCCCGCCUGUUUACCAAAAACAUCGCCUCUUGCACACUAUAAGAGGUCCCGCCUGCCCAGUGAUUAUUUAACGGCCGCGUGAUUUUAAGCGCGCAAAGGUAGCGAAAUCAUUUGUUCUUUAAAUGAGGACCAGUAUCAACGGCACCACGAGGACUUUACUGUCUCCUCUCCCUAAUCAGUGAAACUAAUCCCCCUGUGAAAAAGCAGGGAUAAUACUAUAAGACGAGAAGACCCCAUGGAGCUUUAAACUUUUUGGCAACUUUUAGUAAACCUUCUACCCUUCAAUACCUAAGCCAUGCCCAAUCGUUUUAGGUUGGGGCGACCGCGGAGUAAAACUUAACCUCCAUGACGAAAGGACAUCUCCUAAUCUAAGAAAGACAUUUCUAAGAAUCACUAACCUGAUGUUUUAUGACCCGACUAUCGAUCAACGAACUAAGUUACCCUGGGGAUAACAGCGCAAUCCAUUUUGAAAGCCCCUAUCGACAAAUGGGUUUACGACCUCGA